AAGAGAGCUCUUUCAAGACAGUGUGUUGUCUAAACUGUCAUGGAACUGCUCUCUUUA
RNAcentral lists this microRNA precursor (57 nucleotides) under Limulus polyphemus (Atlantic horseshoe crab). RNAcentral's name for it is "Lpo-Mir-281-P16_pre stem-loop". The record is from RNAcentral. Lineage: Eukaryota; Metazoa; Arthropoda; Merostomata; Xiphosura; Limulidae.